UGGAGAUGAAACACUGGCAUGAGGGUCUUGAAGAAGUGACUCAUUUCAGUGCUAGGAUAUUCAGCUGAAUUCAACAAGUGUUGCCUGAGCACAGGCUCCAGGUAAACGUUUGCUUAAUUAAGGCCUUCUGUAGCACUGAUACUGCUGAUCUCUGGCAUGAAGCGCAAGACUUGCAAUUCAAUGACAACAAACAGGUCUACAAGGAGAGCACAACUUCCCAUUUAAAACCAACAAACAAGAAGCUUUGAAAACAAGAUAAAUGGAAGUGUCAAUAAUGAAUAUGCAUGAAGGUCUUUCUCCUGUAGUCAUUGGUUAGGCGAUUCUGGCAGUAUUUUGUAGGGCACAUUAUUCUGCUUUGGAACUUCGCCUGGAAGGAGAACUAAGCAAGAUGAGAAACUGAACGUAUCUGUGACUCUGCAAGCAGUCCCUGACGCUGUGGUGGGAUCCAGGCCUGGACGCUGUGGAUAAGGGCUGCUGUGGCCAAAAUAAUUAUUGAUAACAGAAUUUUUGAAUCAAGAGAACUACUCUAUCCAAUGAGCUAAGGCGAGAAAACCUGGCAGCAAGUACAAUGUCCUACUGUGAUUAUUUCAGGAAACCAGCAACAUGGGGACAGAUAAAAGUAAGAAGCAGGUUACCUUCGCUCUCUGGUUUUGGAACCACACCUGGACGACACGGACACUCAGCCCUGUCUCUGCAGCCAGAGUCUCUCUCACCUUGGAAAAAUUGAACGAGAAAUGUAGACACACUGGCAUCUCAGGGUAGGAGGUAGAACAUCUCCUAUAUAAUACUUGAGGAGGCCAAAAGACUGUAUCUGCUUUAGGAGCUGAAUAGUUUUUAAUGUUGAGCAUACACACAAACACGAGAACAUUGCUUCCCUUCAGGUAGAAAGAAAGUCCUUCACCAGGUAACUUUGGGUGUUUCAUGAAUAUCCAUAGUGACUGCUACCCCAAGUGAGCCCUGCCCAAAGAGAAUAAAAUGAGAGCCAUCUGGAACCCGGCAGAGCCAGGAAGUGUGGCCACAGGACUACAUUCUGGCCAACACAUAUGAGGAGAAAUGAUUUGAGCAACCCCUGGAUACAUCCUUAAAAA
Molecule: long non-coding RNA, 1088 nt
Organism: Homo sapiens (human)
Lineage: Eukaryota; Metazoa; Chordata; Mammalia; Primates; Hominidae
Gene: LMX1A-AS2
Product: LMX1A antisense RNA 2
Exons: 6
Source: RefSeq, a predicted model, not a curated record